GGAAAUUCAGAAAAAAGAAGUAUAGCAACCAUCAGCUUAAAUGAAAGAAGCAUUGCCUUCAAAAUGUAGAUGGUAUCUUUAAUUUGAAACUUUAUCCGUAGUGGACUACAAAAAAGGAAGAGUAAUUGGCCCAUGGAGAUAUCGCUAUUUCUUUGUCCCAUUUACAGGAAAAAGGCUGCAUACACAAGCAGCAGCAACGCAUCUCCAUUUUAAAAUGUUUGAGCUGCAGUGGCAAUGGAAAGAAACAUCAAAAUAAACAACCCAAACUGAAGACUCUGUAAAUUAGCAACACAAUUAGAGUAUUAAAACUUAGGAACAACAUUGACAGUGAACAAGACCCCACUUUAAAUCAGGUGUUCUCCCAAAAAAAAAACAAACUUCUUAUUGUCCAACCACACACCCAACAAUUGGAUCAGCAAAAAUAUGUCAAUUCAAGAUAGCUUCUCACUGAGCAAGCUUGCAUAUAUCUGAACAGAAGCAGCUAAAGAAAUAGAAACGCUGAGCUUUCAUUUUAUAGAAAAAAAUGAGAGAAUAUUUUACUGACUCCAUCUUUCUAGUUUGGGCUUUUUUUUGUUUUAAGUGUAGCAUUUAGCCAUGUUUGGAAACACCCCCC
This 613-nucleotide long non-coding RNA is filed under the name Setaria viridis. RNAcentral's name for it is "long non-coding RNA (SVIR_LNC001652)". The record is from RNAcentral. Lineage: Eukaryota; Viridiplantae; Streptophyta; Magnoliopsida; Poales; Poaceae.